UGCACCAAAUAGGCGACCCUGAUU
Molecule: non-coding RNA, 24 nt
Filed under: Drosophila melanogaster (fruit fly)
Lineage: Eukaryota; Metazoa; Arthropoda; Insecta; Diptera; Drosophilidae
Source: RNAcentral